This 497-nucleotide ribosomal RNA is filed under the name uncultured bacterium. RNAcentral describes it as "partial 16S ribosomal RNA". It matches the Rfam family "Bacterial small subunit ribosomal RNA", at positions 28 to 507 of the family's 1533-position model. The record is from RNAcentral.
GACGAACGCUGGCGGCGUGCCUAAUACAUGCCAGUUGAGCGCUGAAGGUUGGUACUUGUACCAACUGGAUGAGCAGCGAACGGGUGAGUAACGCGUGGGGAAUCUGCCUUUGAGCGGGGGACAACAUUUGGAAACGAAUGCUAAUACCGCAUAAAAACUUUAAACACAAGUUUUAAGUUUGAAAGAUGCAAUUGCAUCACUCAAAGAUGAUCCCGCGUUGUAUUAGCUAGUUGGUGAGGUAAAGGCUCACCAAGGCGAUGAUACAUAGCCGACCUGAGAGGGUGAUCGGCCACAUUGGGACUGGGACACGGCCCCAACUCCUACGGGAGGCAGCAGUAGGGAAUCUUCGGCAAUGGACGAAAGUCUGACCGAGCAACGCCGGGGGAGUGAAGAAGGUUUUUGGAUCGGAAAACUCUGUUGGUAGAGAAGAGCGUUGGUGAGAGUGGAAAGCUCAUCAAGUGACGGUAACUACACAGAAAGGGACGGCUAACUACGUG